UGGGGAAUCUUGCGCAAUGGGCGAAAGCCUGACGCAGCAACGCCGUGUGGGGGAUGAAGGCCUUCGGGUUGUAAACCCCUGUCGAAGGAGAAGAAUUGUUUCAAGGUGAAUAAUCUUGGAAUUUGACGGUACCCUUAAAGGAAGCACCGGCUAACCUCGUGCCAGCAGCCGCGGUAAUACGAGGGGUGCAAGCGUUGUUCGGAAUUACUGGGCGUAAAGCGCGUGUAGGUGGUUAAAUGUGUCGAAUGUGAAAUCCCUGGGCUUAACCUAGGAAGUGCGUUCGAAACUGUUUAACUCGAGUGCGGGAGAGGAGGGCGGAAUUCCCAGUGUAGAGGUGAAAUUCGUAGAUAUUGGGAGGAACACCGGAGGCGAAAGCGGCUCUCUAGACCGUAACUGACAC
This 400-nucleotide ribosomal RNA is filed under the name uncultured bacterium. RNAcentral's name for it is "bacterial SSU rRNA". It matches the Rfam family "Bacterial small subunit ribosomal RNA", at positions 355 to 746 of the family's 1533-position model. The record is from RNAcentral.